Alosa sapidissima (American shad) is the source of this 796-nucleotide long non-coding RNA. RefSeq lists it as uncharacterized. Lineage: Eukaryota; Metazoa; Chordata; Actinopteri; Clupeiformes; Clupeidae. The transcript is spliced from 2 exons. The record is from RefSeq and is a predicted model, not a curated record.
AGAUUUCAGAAAUAAAAUCAGUCAUUGGACAGCUGAGAUAUUAAAUGAUUGGUCAUCGUUAACAUUUUAACGAAAUUAGAACGGUCAGGCUUGUAAGGGUCAGAGCGGUAGAAAAACAGAGUGGCGACACUCCCAUAGACUUCUAUAGGAAACAAUGGCGGCGCUUUUUCCCGGCUACUUCCACGUUAUGCUGAGCUCAAAAGUUCCUAACUUUGACAUUCACGGCUUUAGCCCCAUUCACUUCCAUUGCUUUCUGCCUGAUAUUGUCAGUGGACCAAGGAUGCAGAGGACAAGAAGGGUGUGCUAUAUAUGACUGGAAUCGACAGAUAAGAUCAUUUUUUUUAUGUUUGAAGUCCAUACAAUGGGGCCCUUACACAAAAGGGAGUGGUGUUGAUCCAGCAUCUUCCACACCUCCCAUAACACUCCUGACUCCAGCCAAAUGUGUUGCAUCCUCCUUACCAGAUAGAUAGAUAGAUACUUUAUUGAUCCCCAAGGGGAAAUUCAAGAAUGUCACCAUGUCUCUCUUAUAGGUGUACAGAGUAUAUGGAGAGCUGUCCAUCCCUUCAUAGUGUCUUUUGUGUAGUUCACACACAAUUGUUGUUCAAACUUUGGAAACUGAAAUCUUUUAAUUUUUUGGAAAACUUAAUGAGUGCCAGACCACCUUUUUAUGUUGCAGUGUCACCAUACCUUUCUCCCAGUCUUUUUUGUAUCAGUCAUCCUGUAUGUAUCAGUCAUCCUUUUCAUGCUGUAGUCUCACCAGCCGGCUGAAAUGUAAGUUAUAAGUAUUUUAUUGAAA